UACGGGGGGAGCAAGCGUUGUUCGGAUUUACUGGGCGUAAAGGGCGCGUAGGCGGUCAGCUCAGGUCGGUUGUGAAAUCUCCGAGCUUAACUUGGAAACUGCCAUUGAUACUAUCAGUCUUGAAUAUUGUGGAGGUCAGCGGAAUAUGUCAUGUAGCGGUGAAAUGCUUAGAUAUGACAUAGAACACCAAUUGCGAAGGCAGCUGGCUACACAUAUAUUGACACUGAGGCACGAAAGCGUGGGGAUCAAACAGG
Molecule: ribosomal RNA, 254 nt
Filed under: uncultured bacterium
Lineage: Bacteria
Description: partial 16S ribosomal RNA
Rfam family: Bacterial small subunit ribosomal RNA
Source: RNAcentral